RNAcentral lists this unclassified non-coding RNA (336 nucleotides) under soil metagenome. RNAcentral describes it as "partial contains 5.8S ribosomal RNA, internal transcribed spacer 2, and large subunit ribosomal RNA". The stretch from base 1 to 120 matches the Rfam family "5.8S ribosomal RNA", at positions 35 to 154 of the family's 154-position model. The record is from RNAcentral.
GAUGAAGAACGUAGCGAAAUGCGAUAAGUAAUGUGAAUUGCAGAAUUCAGUGAAUCAUCGAAUCUUUGAACGCACAUUGCGCCCGCCAGUAUUCUGGCGGGCAUGCCUGUUCGAGCGUUAUUUCAACCAUCAAGCCCCCGGCUUGUGUUGGGGACCUGCGGCUGCCGCAGGCCCUGAAAAGCAGUGGCGGGCUCGCUGUCACACCGAGCGUAGUAGCAUACAUCUCGCUCUGGGCGUGCUGCGGGUUCCGGCCGUUAAACCACCUUCAUAACCCAAGGUUGACCUCGGAUCAGGUAGGAAGACCCGCUGAACUUAAGCAUAUCAAUAAGCGGAGGA